UAGGGAAUCUUCGGCAAUGGACGGAAGUCUGACCGAGCAACGCCGCGUGAGUGAAGAAGGCUUUCGGAUCGUAAAGCUCUGUUGUUAGAGAAGAACGUUGGUAGGAGUGGAAAAUCUACCAAGUGACGGUAACUAACCAGAAAGGGACGGCUAACUACGUGCCAGCAGCCGCGGUAAUACGUAGGUCCCGAGCGUUGUCCGGAUUUAUUGGGUGUAAAGCGAGCGCAUGCGGUUCUUUAAGUCUGAAGUUAAAGGCAGUGGCUUAACCAUUGUACGCUUUGGAAACUGGAGGACUUGAGUGCAGAAGGGGAGAGUGGAAUUACAUGUGUAGCGGUGAAAUGCGUAGAUAUAUGGAGGAACACCGGUGGCGAAAGCGGCUCUCUGGUCUGUAACUGACGCUGAGGCUCGAAAGCGUGGGGAGCAAACAGG
Molecule: ribosomal RNA, 429 nt
Filed under: Bacillota bacterium
Lineage: Bacteria; Bacillati; Bacillota
Description: Firmicutes bacterium partial 16S ribosomal RNA
Rfam family: Bacterial small subunit ribosomal RNA
Source: RNAcentral